UUUUGCAGAGAACACCUUUCUGAGUAGGCGGCCUUCGUCCGCGCUUAGGGAUUAUAAUACUCACAAAGUUGAAUUCUCUUUCUUUCGAAUAAUAGAGGCGGAAUACCUUUUGCAGAGAACCCCUUUCUAUGUAGGCGGGCUUUGGCCCCGUUUAGGGAUUAUAACCCUCACAAAGUAGAAUUCUCUUUCUGAUUUGCGAAGAAAAGGGGCUGAACACCUUUUGCAGAGAACACCUUUCUAAGUAGGGGGCCUUCGGCCGCCCUUAGGGAUUAUAACCCUGACAAAGUAGAAUUCUCUUUCUAUUUUGCGAGGAAAGGGGGCUGAACACCUUUUGCAGAGAACACCUUUCUGCGUAGAUUAAAAACCCCCGAGAAAAAAUAAAUUAACAUCAUAACCUCAACAUCGGUUAAGCCUUCCGCAAUAUUCUUAUGCAGAGCUUUUUUUAACACAUUAUACUUGUUAGCGUCAACCAAUUUGUUUAGCACGGUGUACAUCAAAGAGACUUUUAAAUCUUUAUUCAAUAAAUCAAUUAGUUAAAUUUAAAAUAUAUUUUGGGGUAUAAUAUAUUUACGUUUGGUUUUCCCAACCGCUUGCUUUUAGGCUUCUGCCUCUAACGAAGCCGAAAAUCGUUUCUUUUAAUUUCAGCAAACUGACAGUAGCGAGGGUUGCCAGUAGGCACAAAGGAAAACCAAAGGUAAUUUAGAACGGUGUUUACACUUUCGAUUAAUUCUGUGUUGAUGGUAGCGGAGUUUCCAACAUUCUCCCCCCGGUAUCUCCCAUGAAGUGGGAAUACCUAAGCUUCUUGAAAGCCGCCACGUCGUACAUCUAGCACAGCUAUAUUCGUUGCGGGUUGGAGCUAUUGUCCCUGCGCAGUUGACCUGUAGUGCAAUUCACUAACUUUUAACGAUACGAUUUGUCAAGGUCUAAGAUACGGAUUUUGUGGUUUGCAGUAACGAUUGUGUUAUUCGGCAACUCUUUUUUAACUACACUAAACAGCUGACAUUUUCUUUUUAUUUAAAUAAGAGAAAGGUGGCAUCACAGCUUAACGAAACGUCAAAAAUUGUGAAAAGCACAAAGAAGAAUGACGAAAAACAAAUAAAUUCUUUGCUUGCAAAGUGGUAUACACAUAGUUUUCUGGAUGUUUUAAUAUAUUUUUACAAAAAAAAGGCUUCGUCAGUACACAGUGUUCAAAUGAGAAGCCGGACAACAGCAUAACAACUAAGUCGCAUGGUGGACUUUUUGGCGGAAACGCCGGGAUUGGCAGGAUCAAGGUUCCAGAAGCUUCAUGGCAAAUCGGUCUGCGACAAGAAGUGGAGUGAACUAGCGUCAAUGCUGAAUAGCCUUGGUGGUUCGGUAAAGAACGUCGACCAAUGGUGCACAGUAUGGAGGGAUUUGAAGAGCCGUACUAGCAUUAAGGUGCGUGAUAGAAAAAGAAAGCAGGCAAUGACGGGAAACAUUCCCAUUAACCCACCCACUGAGCUUGAGAGGCGUAUAAUUGCCCUUGUCGGUAGCGACUAUGUGCAGGGCCAUGAAACUGUUGCUGAAAAUGUGCCAGUGGAAAAGGUAAAAAGCAAGUAAAUAGUUUUGAAUAGCACAGCAGUAACAAUUCUUCCCAUCAUUAGGAACUCCAACUGCGUAUGGAAGAAGGUGAGAAAGUGUCAUCAUCGAGAUGCCAUCUAUUUCUAACGAAGUGAGCAUUGAGAUUUGCACAUCGACUCCCAUAACUCCUGCAGGAAAAACGCCACGUAGAGGUGCAAAAACAAGGCGUGUGGACGGUGGUACCGAGGCCCAAAAAACAUUUUUGGAAAUUGCUCAGACCCAAGCAAAUGCCUUAAAAAUGCUAGCAGAGUCGAGUGCAGCGAAUGUAUACAUUUACAUUUACAUUUGUAUACAAAUACCAAAUAGACAAGCAGAUGCUUUGAAGGUAAUUUUUGUACAUACUAAUAAAUACCCUGCAGUGAAAAGCCAAACCAGUUGGAAAAAAUAC
This 1987-nucleotide unclassified non-coding RNA is filed under the name Rhagoletis pomonella (apple maggot). RNAcentral describes it as "uncharacterized LOC118753238, transcript variant X1". The record is from RNAcentral. Lineage: Eukaryota; Metazoa; Arthropoda; Insecta; Diptera; Tephritidae.